This is a long non-coding RNA of Myotis brandtii (Brandt's bat), 2121 nucleotides long. RefSeq lists it as uncharacterized. Lineage: Eukaryota; Metazoa; Chordata; Mammalia; Chiroptera; Vespertilionidae. The record is from RefSeq and is a predicted model, not a curated record. The transcript is spliced from 2 exons.
CCAGUUUAAGAACCCAUUGUGGCCCUUGAGUCAAAAAGUUUGCCCACCCCUGCUCUAGAUUAUUGCAGCAGGAGUAGACAUUUGACCCAUCCUGAGCCAAACAGAUUGUCACACUAGAGAAUCAGAAGAGAGACAGAUUUCAUAGUCAGGAUGGUGUUGGGCAGUGAAGCAGUGGGUCAAUUGGAGUUGAGGCCAAGGUCAGAGCCAUGGACAUGGGGGCCUCAGCCAAGGCCUGGCUCUGGUUAAGGGGAAAGCAGAGCCAUGUGCUUUACAGAGGCCAAGUGUCUUAGAAGACACCAGUAUGACAUCCCAGAGAAAAGAGGCACAGAGAAGCAGAGAAAAGUUGAUCCUGAGACCCUGGAGAUAAAAGAGUGGAGGCCCAACCAUUUUUCCACUUCCUGCCAUUGUGCUCUGUAAAAAUCCACUCUACCCAGAUCCCUUUUUCUUUAAGCUAACUGGAGCUGCUUACUCUUCUGUGGAACCAGAUUAUUUCAAAGUCAGAAAUUGGCACCAGAAGAGCAGUGACAAACCACAGACUGUCAAAGAAAAUGUCAGAACUGGCCAGGGAGAUACCUCAGUGAUUGAUGGGUAGUUGGGAUUCCUGCUCCCAAGAGUAUCCAGGGAUGAACUGAACAAGAAGCUCAUUCAUGUUCUGAGUGAGUUAUAUCAGAAGAAAUAAUCAAAACAGGCCUGGGGUUUACACCCCCGCCCCGGGCUUACAACAGUAGAGAUUUGCCACCCCUAAGAGAAUCCCUCAGGGCUAUCUACAGAAGACACCACACCAGCUACAGUCGAGAAGGACUGCUGUGACUAUUCAGCCCAUGACAAGAGAAUCCUCCCCAGUUCCCAGUGAGCAGAACUGGGGACAAUCAAAUGUGAACGUGGAACAAAAGCCACUGCCAAGCCCACAGGUGGAAGGAUGGUGAGGAGUCACACCAGACUGAGACACCAGGAGGAGCCCAGGACAUCACCUGGCCACCAUGGACCUAGAGACUGAAGUUGUCAUGGCCCUGCGACAUCUCUGCAGCAGCUGCAUGUGACUGGGCUAUUUCCUUUUGGGGCAAGUGUGGAUAACCAUCAGAAUUGGGGACAAGAUACCUAGCUUGUACUUAUCAGAAAUAACCUUGGGCUUGUUUAUAUCCUUCUAGGGCAGGGCUUCCCAAACUCAGCACUCUUGACAUUUGGAGUUGGAUAAUUCUAUGUUGCAAAUGGCUGGUACACUGUAGGAUGUUUGACAGAAUCCCUGGUUUCUACCCUGAUGCCAGUAGCACAUCCCCCAAGUUAUGACAACCAGAAAUGUUUCGAGAUAAUUGCCACAUGUCCACUGGUGGGUAAAAUUGUUCCUCACGAGCAACCAUGGAGGCAAUGAAAUACUUAAAAGUAUUCAGAAUAGGGUGAAGAGAAGUGCCAGGGGAGCAAGUCAGCGGUGCCCAGGGCUGCAGGGGGCCUGUAAGACAGGAGGUAAAAAGUGUUCAUUGGGUCUGGCAUUCACUUUUGAUCUUUGAGCAAAUCUGGGUGGGGGAGAAGCAGAAGCCAAACUGACAGCACUGAGGAGAGAGGGAGCAGGAAGUAAGGAAGUACAGUCAGUGAAGGGGGCUCUUCAAGGACUCCUGGCUGUGAAGGGAAGGAGUGAUGUGAGAUACAUAGCUGAGAGAGGGUUCUUUUGACUAUGGGAGAAACUGGAGCCAUGGGGAAGGAGACAGCUGAAGAAAGCUUGAAAACACAAGAAAUAUAUAAAAGAUUGGGACAGAUCCUGCCCUACUGUAUUGGAGGACUAUCUAUUCUACUGUUCAAAAAUAUAUGAAAGGUCAAUUUUGUUUUUUGUGAAACAAAACCCCCAAAAGUAUUGUGUAUAUGUAUGCUAUGUAUAUUAAUAGAUGUUUUGUGUGCCUUAUGUUACAGAUUUAUAUUUGAAUAAGCAAAAAAAAAAAAAAAGACGUAGCAAACAAGGUAUUACCUAGGGAGACUGGGAUCAGAGUCAGGGGAUGGAAAGUAGGAGUGGAUGGGUGCGGGGGUUAUAGGGUGCAUUGGGGUUGGUUACAGUAAGGCAUUAGGGUGGAGGAAUUGUAUAUCUUCAGGUACUUCUGUGCUGUGUAAAAUGAAAUAAAUGUUCACAAAAAU